Chelonoidis abingdonii (Abingdon island giant tortoise) is the source of this 101-nucleotide ribosomal RNA. The record is from Ensembl. NCBI's taxonomy places the organism in Eukaryota, Metazoa, Chordata, Testudines, Testudinidae.
AUCUGCAGCUAUACAACCUGCUGCUGUGAUCUUGUCAGAUUUCACAAGCUAAGCAGGGUCAGGCUAGGGGAGAACUUUGAUGAAGCAAGCAGAUGCAGGCC